CCACAAUUGCAUGUUUGAAUUCAAAUUUUGAAUCACAAAAGGCUUUAAGAGAUUUUGUUUACAUCCCCGUAACCUUUGGAUUUUCAAACCAAUAGGGUUGAUGUAUAAAAAGGGUUUAAUGCAUAUAUAAGCUAUCCCACAAUUUUUGGAUAAUUAUUUGGAGUUGAAAAAGUAUUUUAUUUUAAAUAGAUAUAUGGCCCUAAAAGCAUUUAUAGGGCAAAUGUAUUUUUUUCAUAUUUUAUUUUGAAGAGAAACUACUUCCAAAAGUUGUAUCUUGGUAGAACAUGAUUUUACAAAUUUUCUGAAAUUUGUUUGGACCAAUUUAGAGUUCAAACACAAAAGAUAUCAAAGAAAUGAGAAAAACAGAAAAAGAAAAGGCCUAAAAGAAAAAAAAAAGGGGGGGUAAACGGACCGGCCCGGCCGAAUUGGGCCGAACCGGCCCAACUCCCCUGCGCGCGCCACAGCCCAGCUGGCCCAGCCGCCCACUCGCGCGCGCCCGAGCCACCGACAGGUGGGACCCACUUGUCGGGGUCGUCCCCUACCUCGGGCAAGCGCCCGAGAUCGCGCCGCCGUCCCCGCGCGUGACCGCCGCGCGCCAUCACCGGGAUCCGCUCCUCCGGCCUUCUAUUUUCAUGCCCGAGCACGCCUUUAUAAUCCCCGCGACCCCCUCUCUCUUUCCCCCUUGUUUCCCCAUCCAAUCGCGCCGCCAGGCUGCCCCGAUUUCUCGCCGGAGUCCGACCGCGCCGCCCGCCCGUCUUCGACCACGGCGCCGACCCCGACCGUCCCCGACCGCGCCCCCGUCUCCGCCGUGCCGCGCCGCGUCUCCCCGUGAACUCCCCGCGUCGC
RNAcentral lists this long non-coding RNA (846 nucleotides) under Brachypodium distachyon (stiff brome). RNAcentral describes it as "long non-coding RNA (BDIS_LNC003084)". Lineage: Eukaryota; Viridiplantae; Streptophyta; Magnoliopsida; Poales; Poaceae. The record is from RNAcentral.